This 492-nucleotide ribosomal RNA is filed under the name uncultured bacterium. Its description in RNAcentral is "partial 16S ribosomal RNA". It matches the Rfam family "Bacterial small subunit ribosomal RNA", at positions 29 to 507 of the family's 1533-position model. The record is from RNAcentral.
AGUGAACGCUGGCGGUAGGCCUAACACAUGCAAGUCGAACGGCAGCACAGUAAGAGCUUGCUCUUACGGGUGGCGAGUGGCGGACGGGUGAGGAAUACAUCGGAAUCUACUUUUUCGUGGGGGAUAACGUAGGGAAACUUACGCUAAUACCGCAUACGACCUACGGGUGAAAGCAGGGGAUCUUCGGACCUUGCGCGAUUGAAUGAGCCGAUGUCGGAUUAGCUAGUUGGCGGGGUAAAGGCCCACCAAGGCGACGAUCCGUAGCUGGUCUGAGAGGAUGAUCAGCCACACUGGAACUGAGACACGGUCCAGACUCCUACGGGAGGCAGCAGUGGGGAAUAUUGGACAAUGGGCGCAAGCCUGAUCCAGCCAUACCGCGUGGGUGAAGAAGGCCCUCGGGUUGUAAAGCCCUUUUGUUGGGAAAGAAAGGCAGCAAGUUAAUACCCCGCUGUUCUGACGGUACCCAAAGAAUAAGCACCGGCUAACUUCGUG